AAAAUAACAAUUAUUAUUAUUAAUAUAUAAAAAGUAGAAUAAAUUUUAUUAUUACAGUUUAAAAUUAAUAAAUUUAUUAUGAAGAAAAAUAAUUUAUAAAACAUUCGUGCUUUUUAUAUUUGGAAAUGGCCUCCUCGUUGUCUUUUAUUUGACAUUAUCAUUUUUGUUAUAACACUCCAGCUAAUUUGUCUAGAAUAUUAGCCGAGAAGUAAAUAAAAGGAUCGGGAUACGUUAACAUUACUGAAUUAAACUCGUUGUAUAUACCCAUAAUGCAUAAAAAAGCUUUGUCAUUAUACAAGUAUCGACUAAACUGAAUGAUAACAUUCCUGUCAUAAUGUAACUUAAAACUUACAUCAGAGCCGUAAAUAAACAGUCAAUACUAUGACACUAACUUAUACAACAACUUAAUAGAAUAUACAAAUAAACAAUGACAAUAACAUCCAAUUCCACUUCAUUUCUUCUAGUCCAUAGCUCUCUACACUGCAACCUGUUUAUCUGUAUCAAAAGGGAGUGGGGUGAGACAGUCACUUUGUCUCAAUGGAUUCCUCGCUACCCAACUAUCUCUUACGAACCAUUUUGGAAUCGAUCGUUAAUGCACUACAUUCAUAAAAAUGGCUUAAACAUAAUAAUAAUUCUCUUAAUAGAAACUAAAGAUGUAUCACACAAUAGUUAUCUUGAUUCAUUUUACAGGAAGCUUCCGAGGUGAGUAUAUCUCGAAAGGUCCACUAGGAUGUUCUCCUCUUAGGAUGUUCUCCACUACCCGUUGUGACAUAGCUAUGCCACGUUGGUCAUUUACUCACAUUAUUUCCUUAUCUUAACAGAUUCCUACUAAUGUAUGGAAAUCUUACUAUAGUUGAAAUUAUAAUGAUUUGUGGUUUGGGUGUUAACCACUAAUCUACUUGACUAUUCUAAUUUCUCAGUGUUCUUAACUUAACAACCAUCCCGGGGUAAUUCUAACUAUCCUGAAGAUCCUGAUUCAAUUCCUAAGUCUAACUGAUUUCAAUACAUGUAUGAAAGUCCGUAUCGUGGAAUUCUAGUCACUUAUAGUUUUUAUAAAAUAAAGUUCAUAGUUGAGGAUUUUCAGUUGAAAUAAAACAGUCAUUACACCUCUCAUAUAUAAGCCAAAAGGUUUUUCAUAAAUUAUCUUUGCUUGCACCGGUUCAAGGGUCCUAUGCAUCGAUGCACAUAAUCCAGUUUUUAAGAAAACAAGACAUCUGACUUAUAUGCAUCGACUCAAGUUUGCCUUGUACUGAUUCAAACUCACUCAGGCCAUGCUUAAGCCGGUUAACACAGCGUUUGUACCAAUCCAACGUUUCCCAGAUUUUUAGAAAACACAUUUUGUGCUUACGCACCGGCUCAUAAGGUGCAGAAAACAGAUUUUUGCUUCACAUGGAACCGAUUCAACCAUGGAAUCCUGCAUAACUCAGAAUAGUGUUCAAGUCCAAUUCAGCUUAUAUAAUCAUAAUUCAUACUGAAUUCCACAUAUUACAGUCAAUUCAUCAUGCAGGGCUUAUUUAAAGUGAUUAAUUAAUCAGUUAAUGAGUUAUCCUAGUUUAAUCCUAAACAUAACGUAACUUAAGUUGUCAUGCAUAAUUUAUAUUUGGGGAUAACUAUGGAACUAUUCUAUUAAAGUGAGAAUUUACUUAAAGGAACCCACCUGAUAUGGUUGAUGAUGAACUUAAUGAUGAUUACUCAAAGAUGCAAACUUUUUCUGCAUGAACUCCUCUUAGCUUCAAACAUCCAGUCAUUAACUUCUUAAGAUUUAGAAGCUACAAGUUGUACACUAUCAAAAGACAUCAUCACCAUCCUACAAUUCUUUAAACGAAGCUCCAAUCUGCCUCUUGUAUCCUUAAACAUACAUAUAUGCAGCCCUUCAUUUCCAAGAAAAGCAAAAAACAGAGGUUUUUCCCUUUCUCCCAACAAACCCAUUUCGGCUAAGCCAUGGAAAAUGGAAAGAGAAAUUGGAAUAGUCACUUACUUUGAUUCUUACACACCUAAAAGCUCAAACCCAUAAGAAAUUUGUGCAUACAAGUUAGAAUUUGAACAACAUGAAUUUAGGGGUUUAGUUUGGGAUUCUCGUACAAAAGUGAGGGAUAGAAGAAGCUAGAACUGAAAUUGGGUCUUCCUUGGGUGAUAUUGAAAAGGGCUAACAUGCAUUGGUUUUUCUUUUGAAGGAUUAAAGGAGUAGAAACUUGAGUUGGUAGAUAAGAGAGUUGGAAGGAAUUGUUCUGACUUUUUGUUUUUUUUCUUACUAGACCAGGUUGAUUAAAUAACUAAAGAUUCUUGACUUUUUCUCUAAAUGGUGUCUCUAAUUAACAUUGUUAUUAUUAAUUAGAGUUGGGUCGUUACAUUUGUUGUAUCAAAUAUCGAUAGGCAAGGUGACCCUCUCUCACCCUAUCUUUUUGUCUUAUGUAUUGAACGUUUAUUUCAAUACAUUAAUCUAGCGGUGGAUCAAAACAAA
RNAcentral lists this long non-coding RNA (2461 nucleotides) under Trifolium pratense (red clover). RNAcentral's name for it is "long non-coding RNA (TPRA_LNC010606)". Lineage: Eukaryota; Viridiplantae; Streptophyta; Magnoliopsida; Fabales; Fabaceae. The record is from RNAcentral.